AAUUGAUUCACAACCUGAGAGUGUCACAAUCCCCAUGUUGGAGAUCACUGCUCUACCCUGCAGCUUCAGGAGAGGGGAGGCCAGAAGGCAGAAUGAGAAAUGGGGUCGGGGGUGUGAGUGCUUAUCUCAUCCACCCAUGACAGCGAGUGGGCCUGCAGGACUCUGGAAAUUGCAUGAGAAUUUCUGCUCCAUCAGCUUCCUGCCUGGUCUCAUGCUCCCAUCUCAAUCCUCUCACCCACCCUCCUCCCAGCAGAAGGACACACGGAUUUUCCUGAAUCACAAUCUGAUCACUUCUAUCCCCUGCUUAAGACCUGUCUGUAGCUUGAGUACACUGAGAAGAACAGUUCUCACCAAGGCUCAUAAGGGGAGGUGGACAGGGGAAGCGAUGGGGAUGGUGGGAGCUUCCCUGGCCUUCCUGGACACCCCAUCCUCUCAGCACCUCCACAUGUUCAGCAACUGGGAAGUUCAACUCUAGUUUUUCAAGAGUUUUUAUAAAGUUUGGUCCUUAUCUCCUCGCCAUUGCCACUUUUCUUGGAAGUUGGUGGGUGAUACUGAAAGUUUCUACCCUCUAAUCCUCAAAUCUUUUGGUCUUUGUGAUGACUGGCAUGAUACUGAGGCUACCUGGGGACCCUUCCCUAAUUCACAUUUUUUUUUUUUGAGAGGGAGUCUCACUCUGUCACCCAGGCUGAAGUGCAGUGGCAUGAUCUCAGCUCACUGCAACCUCCGCCUCCCAGGUUCAAGCAAUUCUUCUGCUUCAGCCUCCCGAGUAGCUGGGAUUACAAGCGCCCACCAGCAUGCCCAGCUAAUUUUUGUAUUUUUCGUAGAGACGGGGUUUCGUCAUGUUGGCCAGGCUGUUCUCAAACUCCUGACCUCAGAUGAUCCACCCGCCUCGGCCUCCCAAAGUGUUGGGAUUACAGGUGUGAGCCACCGCACCUGGCCCCUAAAUCACAUUUUUAGCAUGAACUCAGCUGGUGUGAUCUGAAAGAGUCUCAUCUGGAAGAACAAAAGACAUUCCUAUCACUCAGGAAAUUCCAAGUUUAGCUUCAUGGUAGGAACAAGAGUCAAAGAACAAACAUUUUCAUGUUAUAGCACACCCAGUAAGCCAUGGGUUCAUCAGAUUGGACUCUCUUUGCUCUGCCAAAUUGGCAGCAUUUGUGAGUUACCAAUCCCAAGGGAGGACUCCCACUGCAGGGAGGAUGGCAAAGGUCACCACUGCGCUAACCACCCGGAAUAGGGGUCUGAACACUUCAGCCACCGCAUCUUGGGCUGCACUCUGACUACACUGAGCGUGGUGAACAGAACACCCACAGCCACAGCCAGUUCGACAAAGCAGGUUAAUUACUUACAGACAGGCAGCGAGGGACAGCGGAAGCCUAGGCUGCAUGACUGUUCAUCUCUCUGUACGACAAGAACAUUCAAUUUUUGGAUAUUGUCAGCUUCCCAGCCCUUCCUCAGUCACAUCCAGUGCACAUCUGGGCAUACCAUGUGCUUUCUGUCUUGGCAGCAGAAGGACAUUCAAACUGGUCUCCCGGGGCUCAGGAGCACUGCCCAGGGCAGAUAGAGUCUCCCAUGCCUGCCCCACUUGCACCACAGCUGAGGACUCAGCAGUGAGCUCUGGGUUUUAGAUGUGGUGGACACGCCCUGGGCUAGUGUGGCAGGACACCCCCUCUAGGAGGGAUGGGAAUGAGGCCAGGGCUGUCCUGGGCAGUUUCUCUUUAGCUCAAGGUGUUGCAUUCUCUCGGAGGAAUAGAAACCAAGCUUGGGCACUUUCAGGCAGUUCCUCCUUACUCAGGAUGGUGCAUUCUUAUAUAAUUUGGCUCUGUCUUGCCACACAAAUCUCAUCUCACAUUGUAAUCCCCAUGUGUCAGGGGAAGGAUCUGGUAGGUGAUUGGAUCAUGGGGGCAGUUUUUUCCAUGCUGUUCUCCUGAUAGUGGGGGAGUUCUCAGGAGAUCUGAUGGUUUAAAAGUGUGUAGAAGUUCCCGGCUCGCUCUCUUUCUCUCCUGCCACCAUGGAAGGCGUGCCUUGCUUUUCCUUCACCCUCCAGCAUGAUUGUACAUUUCCUGAGGCCACCUUGGCGUGCAGAACUAUGAGUCAAUUAAACCUCUUUCCUUUAUAAAUUACCCAGUCUCAGGUAGUUUUUUUUAGCAGUGUGAAAAUGGACUAAUACACAUUUCUACUGUAUUCUACAGUGAUUCUGGGAACUGUGGGCAAGAAGAGAGGCGGGAAAGCCAGAGCCAUCCAAUGCUUGUCUUCUGGUGCCCUCCUCCAGGAAGCCAUUCCUGGUGCCCUGGGCGCUGCUCCCAGCCUUGCUCACCCUGGGUCAUCACCGUUUUUGGAGGGGUCUGUGUCCUCCCCAGACUAUAAGACCCAGAAAAGCAGGGCCUGGAGCUAAGUCACAGUCGUGUCCCCAGCAUCCACUGACACAGAGUAAGUGCAUAGUGUGUGCUAAAUGAAUGAAAGAAAAGUGAAAGCAUGAUGAAAGCCCUGUGUUCAGGGUGUGUCUCACUCAACCUGUCUGUCCUGUCAUGGUGACUUGGUGAGAAUUGUUGCCUGAAGGUCUUUAAAGCUCUCUCCCUUCCAGGGCUUCCGCAUGGAGCUGCUUCUCAGCUGUGCCCUAUGGGGUCAGAUGCACUGGGGAAGAACUAAGGCUCUUCUCCACAGCCCACCUUUUGUCCCCUUAGCCCUCCCAACAUAGGACACACCAUGUCCAGGGCUGCAGGAGCCCAGGCUGUCAACAGCAUCAGCAUCCUGCUAGAAGAGGGUAGGGAUGGCUGGUACUCAGAAGAGCCUUCUAGAUUCCUAAGUUUAUUAAUCCUUUCACUGCAACUACUAAGAAAAAUAGGUGUGACAUUAUUACUGGGUUACACACAGUCACACACACACACAAAAAGCGAAAGCAAAAAUUGUCAAGAAUAUGUCAGCUUCCCUCAGGGGAGUGGCUUCUUCAACUUUGAUCCCAAAUGACUUAUUUCAGAGGAAACCUCUCCCCUCUCCUCAGAACAAACACAUUCACACAGGAAGGGAUUAAAUUCCUGCAAAGAAGAAGAAGGAAAACCUUCCACUGGUCCUUUGGUCUUAACUAUCCUGGGCCAUAAUGUAUUUGAGAGUCCAGUAAUGACUGUGGAUUUUUUUGCUCAAAAUAUCACAGAUGAUUGCCAAACAUUGUGAAAUGCCAUUGAAUUGCACACUUGAAAACACACACAUACACAUGAAAACUUAAGUAAACGCAUAUACUUAAUUGUGGGGGCUGCAGGGGGGGAGCGGAAAGAAACAUCCAGACAUCUGGUGGUAAAUAUUCUGCUCUGGUUCAGCUAAAAAUAAAGCCCUUUAUCAGUUUGGUCACUGG
Molecule: long non-coding RNA, 3346 nt
Organism: Homo sapiens (human)
Lineage: Eukaryota; Metazoa; Chordata; Mammalia; Primates; Hominidae
Source: Ensembl